CUACGGGUUGCUGCAGUGGGGAAUAUUGCACAAUGGGGGGAACCCUGAUGCAGCAACGCCGCGUGGAGGAUGACACAUUUCGGUGCGUAAACUCCUUUUAUAUAAGAAGAUAAUGACGGUAUUAUAUGAAUAAGCACCGGCUAACUCCGUGCCAGCAGCCGCGGUAAUACGGGGGGUGCAAGCGUUACUCGGAAUCACUGGGCGUAAAGAGCAUGUAGGCUGGUUUGUAAGUUGGAAGUGAAAUCCUAUGGCUUAACCAUAGAACUGCUUCCAAAACUACUUACCUAGAGUAUGGGAGAGGUAGAUGGAAUUUCUGGUGUAGGGGUAAAAUCCGUAGAGAUCAGAAGGAAUACCGAUUGCGAAGGCGAUCUACUGGAACAUUACUGACGCUCAGAUGCGAAAGCGUGGGGAGCAAACAGGAUUAGAUACCCGGGUAGUC
Molecule: ribosomal RNA, 439 nt
Filed under: uncultured bacterium
Lineage: Bacteria
Description: partial 16S ribosomal RNA
Rfam family: Bacterial small subunit ribosomal RNA
Source: RNAcentral